Molecule: ribosomal RNA, 492 nt
Filed under: uncultured bacterium
Lineage: Bacteria
Description: partial 16S ribosomal RNA
Rfam family: Bacterial small subunit ribosomal RNA
Source: RNAcentral
AGUGAACGCUGGCGGUAGGCCUAACACAUGCAAGUCGAACGGCAGCACAGUAAGAGCUUGCUCUUACGGGUGGCGAGUGGCGGACGGGUGAGGAAUACAUCGGAAUCUACUUUUUCGUGGGGGAUAACGUAGGGAAACUUACGCUAAUACCGCAUACGACCUACGGGUGAAAGUAGGGGAUCUUCGGACCUUGCGCGAUUGAAUGAGCCGAUGUCGGAUUAGCUAGUUGGCGGGGUAAAGGCCCACCAAGGCGACGAUCCGUAGCUGGUCUGAGAGGAUGAUCAGCCACACUGGAACUGAGACACGGUCCAGACUCCUACGGGAGGCAGCAGUGGGGAAUAUUGGACAAUGGGCGCAAGCCUGAUCCAGCCAUACCGCGUGGGUGAAGAAGGCCUUCGGGUUGUAAAGCCCUUUUGUUGGGAAAGAAAAGCAGCAGGUUAAUACCCCGCUGUUCUGACGGUACCCAAAGAAUAGGCACCGGCUAACUUCGUG